RNAcentral lists this ribosomal RNA (253 nucleotides) under uncultured bacterium. Its description in RNAcentral is "partial 16S ribosomal RNA". It matches the Rfam family "Bacterial small subunit ribosomal RNA", at positions 524 to 776 of the family's 1533-position model. The record is from RNAcentral.
UACAGAGGUCUCAAGCGUUGUUCGGAUUCAUUGGGCGUAAAGGGUGCGUAGGCGGCGCGGUAAGUCGGGUGUGAAAUCUCGGGGCUUAACUCCGAAACUGCAUUCGAUACUGCCGUGCUUGAGGACUGGAAAGGAGACUGGAAUUUACGGUGUAGCGGUGAAAUGCGUAGAUAUCGUAAGGAAGACCAGUGGCGAAGGCGGGUCUCUGGGCAACAACUGACGCUGAGGAGCGAAAGCGUGGGGAGCGAACAGG